UUCAGUCUCUGCUCUGAAAUUUGCCUCCAUACCCUUUCCUGUGAAUAUUUUGGUUCCACUUUUUAAGAAGGAGUGAAGGAUUCUCACUUUGGUCAUCCUUCUUGAGCUUCAUGUAGUCUGUGAAUUGUGUCUUGGACAAUUUGAUGUUUUGGACUAAUAUCCACUUAUCAGUGAAUGCAUACCAUGUGUGUUUUUUCUGUGAUUGGAUUACUUCACUUAGGAUGAGAUUUUCUAGUUCAAUCCAUUUCUAAAUGAAAUUCAUUAAGUGACUAUUUUUGAUAGCUGAGUAGUAACUUCAUCCAUUGUGAAGAUGUACCAUAUUUUCUGUAUGCUUUCCUCUGUUGAAUGGUAUCUGGGUUCUUUCUAGCUUCUGGCUACUAUAAAUAAGGAUGCUGUGAACAUAUUGAAGCACAUGUCUUUGUUGUAUGUUGAAGCAUCUUUUGGGUAUAUGUCUAGGAGAAGUAUAGCUGGGUCCUCAAGUAGUGCAAUGUCCAAUUUUCUGAGGAAUCUCCUGACUGAUGUCCAGAGUGGUUGUAUUAGUUUGCAAUCCCACCAACAAUGGAGGAGGGCUGCUUCUCUUUCUCCAUAGUCUUGUCAGCAUCUGAUGUCAACUGAGUUUUUUAUCUUACCCAUUCUGACUAGUGUGAGGCAGAAUCUCACUUUUGUUUUGAUUUGCAUUUCCCUGAUGACUAAGAAUAUUGAGUAUUUCUUUAGAUAAUUCUCAGCCAUUCAAUAUUCUUCACCUGAGAAUUAUUUGUUUAGCUCUGUACCCCAUUUUUAAUAGGGUUAUUUGGCCCUCUGGAGUCUAACAUCUUGAUUUCUUUGUAUAUUUUGGAUAUUAACCCUCUAUCAAAUGUAGGAUUGGUAUAGAUCUUUUCCCAAACUGUUGGUUGAUGUUUGGUCCUAAUUACAGUUUCCUUUGUCUUACAGAAGCUUUGCAGUUUUAUGAGGUCCCAUUUAAUGAUUCUUGAUCUUACAGCAUAAGCCAUUGGUGUUUUGUUGAGGGAAUUUUCCCCAGUGACCAUGUGAUCAAGACUCUUCCACAAACUUCUUCUAUUAGUUAGAGUGUAUCUGGUUUGAUGUGGAGGUCCUUGAUCCACUUGGACUUAAGCUUUAUACAGUGCAAUAAGAAUUGGUUGAUUUGCAUUUUUCUACAUGCUGUCUGCAAGCUGAACCAGCACAAUUUGUUGAAAAUGCUACCUUUUAUCCAUUGGAUGGUUUUUGUUCCUUUGUCAAAAUUCAAGUGAUCAUAGGUGUGUGGGUUCAUUUCUGGGUCUUCAUUUCUAUUCCACUCAUCUACCUGCCUGUGUCUGUACCAAUACUAUACAGUUUUUAUCAUUAUUGCUCUGUAAUACAUCUUUUGAGGUCACAGAUGAUGAUUCCCCUGAAGUUCUUUUGUUGUUGAAUUUAGUUUUUGAUAUCCUGGUUUGUUGUAUUUUUGUUACUCCAAAUUAAUUUGCGAAUUCUUUUGUCUAACACUAUGAAGAAUUGAGUUGGAAUGUUGAUGGGGAAUGCAUUCAAUCUGUAGAUUGCUUUUUGUAAAACGGCGAAUUUACUAUAUUAAUUCUGCCAAUCCAUGAGCAUGGGAUUUCUUUCCAUCUUCUGAUAUCUUCUUUGAUUUCUUUUUCCAGAUACUUGAAGUACUUGUCAUACAGAUCUUCACUUGCUUGGUUAAAGUCACACCAAGAUAAUAGCUUUUUUAAAAAAAAAACUCAUUUCUUCGAAGUGUGAUUACAAAAUCAUUGUAAACCUACUGCUUACAUCAUUGGACUGUAUUUCAUAAUGAAGUCACUCAACAUGAAGAAUAGACCUGGUGACUCUCCUGGAACUGUUAAGUGUUUUAUGAUGUAAAAGUCUUCUUUUUCUAAUGAUUUGUAAAAAAUAAAACAAAAUGAUGAAGUAAAAUUGAAGUAAAGACAAACAAACAAAAGGACAAAAAACAGGUACACAAAAAGAGAAAAAAUCGGAAAACCUGCAAAGGUCACUGCUUCCUCUUUCCUGCCGGGGCUGUCUAUGACAGGUUGUCCUGGCCCAGAGUGAAGAUGGAAAGAAGGACUAUCUUACAGAGAUGCAAAGAAGAAUCUGCCAAGCAUCCGACUGAACCGCACUGGCAGUUUAUUCCUAUGAUGUCAAACAUAUUUAUCAAACAUACCCCUAAAGCACAAUAUUCUCUUGAGUCAUUUUGAUCUUUAAGGUUUCUAUUGCAAAAAAAAUGCUUUGACUAAAUAUAUUUAUGUCUA
Non-coding RNA from Rattus norvegicus (Norway rat), 2240 nucleotides. The record is from RefSeq and is a predicted model, not a curated record. Lineage: Eukaryota; Metazoa; Chordata; Mammalia; Rodentia; Muridae.